AAAAUGCAAAUCCAAAUGGAACAAUA
RNAcentral lists this non-coding RNA (26 nucleotides) under Rattus norvegicus (Norway rat). The record is from RNAcentral. Lineage: Eukaryota; Metazoa; Chordata; Mammalia; Rodentia; Muridae.